RNAcentral lists this ribosomal RNA (608 nucleotides) under Alcanivoracaceae bacterium HOT9B10. Its description in RNAcentral is "bacterial SSU rRNA". It matches the Rfam family "Bacterial small subunit ribosomal RNA", at positions 71 to 673 of the family's 1533-position model. Lineage: Bacteria; Pseudomonadati; Pseudomonadota; Gammaproteobacteria; Oceanospirillales; Alcanivoracaceae. The record is from RNAcentral.
GAUGGGAGCUUGCUCCCAGGCGUCGAGCGGCGGACGGGUGAGUAACACGUGGGAAUCUGCCCAUUAGUGGGGGAUAACUCGGGGAAACUCGAGCUAAUACCGCAUAAUCCCUACGGGGGAAAGCAGGGGAUCUUCGGACCUUGCGCUGAUGGAUGAGCCCGCGUCGGAUUAGCUUGUUGGUGGGGUAAUGGCCCACCAAGGCGACGAUCCGUAACUGGUCUGAGAGGAUGGCCAGUCACACCGGGACUGAGACACGGCCCGGACUCCUACGGGAGGCAGCAGUGGGGAAUCUUGGACAAUGGGCGCAAGCCUGAUCCAGCCAUGCCGCGUGUGUGAAGAAGGCCUUCGGGUUGUAAAGCACUUUCAGUAGGGAGGAAGGCUUUGGGCUAAUACCCUGGAGUACUUGACGUUACCUACAGAAGAAGCACCGGCUAAUUUCGUGCCAGCAGCCGCGGUAAUACGAAAGGUGCGAGCGUUAAUCGGAAUUACUGGGCGUAAAGCGCGCGUAGGCGGUGUGUUAAGUCGGAUGUGAAAGCCCAGGGCUCAACCUUGGAAUUGCAUCCGAUACUGGCACGCUAGAGUGCAGUAGAGGGAGGUGGAAUUUCCGG